ACAAUGUCAGAUUCCAGAUAAGAUGAAAAUUGAUUAAUGAGGGACUACUGUACUUAUUUAGUUCUACAGAUAGUAGGUAUUAAAGUACAUAGUAGGAUGAAGACUGGUAGGAACGCCCUGUAAAUCUAGUAGAAAUGACAAUUUGAAGACUGGAACCUUAUAAGAAUUCAGACAAAGUUCUGAAAACAGUGGAGAAAAUUCGUGUCACAGCCAUCUGUCAAGGAAAAAAAUGACAGAAAAUAUUUGCACAUUAUGCUGCAGAAUUGUAUUUAUGUAAACGAAAUACAAAACCAAAAUGGUGAUAGUAAUAGAAGCACAUCUAUUGUAUUGUCUUUUGACCCAAAUAGCCAUGUUGUUACUGGUCAACCAUAUUGUUUUGUGUUAUUUGAAUGAAUUUGUUCUCUCUUUUACAGGUUCCCCCCUCCACCACCUUUGAGAAGUUACGGCCCAUCUGACCGCCGGCCGUACUAAGCGCGCGAAGUACGUCGGGAGCACCGCCACCAUAACAUCGAUUGUUGGUGUUGGCGCGGUAGAGUGGCAUCAAUGUAUUUGUAUUGUCUCGGUAUUGUUCGUACCGGAUCCGUAGUGCCGCCGUGUCCACGCCGUGCCGCGCUGCUCUAGAGACCUGAAAUGGGCAAACGAGGCUCACUCAUGCAAUAUCUGUGGGCAUUACUUUAUUAUCAAUGUCAUUUCGAAUAUUGAGUAUUUACUGUAAUAUUGUAGCUGUUGUAGAAUCGAUCUGACAACCAGAAAAUAUUUGUGUAGGGAGUACUGUUUACAUUGCCUUAUUUUGUCAUUUUUGGUUUGUAACAUGAUUACUCAAAUCAUUUGUAGUUGAUAGUGUUUUAUUAAUUAGAAAAUAAAGGCAUAAAUCAUGAA
Macrobrachium nipponense is the source of this 879-nucleotide long non-coding RNA. RefSeq lists it as uncharacterized. The record is from RefSeq and is a predicted model, not a curated record. NCBI's taxonomy places the organism in Eukaryota, Metazoa, Arthropoda, Malacostraca, Decapoda, Palaemonidae. The transcript has 2 exons.